UACGAAGGGGGCUAGCGUUGCUCGGAAUCACUGGGCGUAAAGCGCACGUAGGCGGCUUGUUAAGUCAGGGGUGAAAUCCUGGAGCUCAACUCCAGAACUGCCUUUGAUACUGGCGAGCUUGAGUUCGGGAGAGGUGAGUGGAACUGCGAGUGUAGAGGUGAAAUUCGUAGAUAUUCGCAAGAACACCAGUGGCGAAGGCGGCUCACUGGCCCGUAACUGACGCUGAGGUGCGAAAGCGUGGGGAGCAAACAGG
Molecule: ribosomal RNA, 253 nt
Filed under: uncultured bacterium
Lineage: Bacteria
Description: partial 16S ribosomal RNA
Rfam family: Bacterial small subunit ribosomal RNA
Source: RNAcentral